GACGAACGCUGGCGGCGUGCUUAACACAUGCAAGUCGAACGAUGAAGCCUAGCUUGCUAGGUGGAUUAGUGGCGAACGGGUGAGUAAUACGUGAGUGACCUACCUUUGACUCUGGGAUAAGCCUGGGAAACUGGGUCUAAUACCGGAUACGACCAAUCUCUGCAUGGGGUGUUGGUGGAAAGCGUUAUGGAGUGGUUUUAGAUGGGCUCACGGCCUAUCAGCUUGUUGGUGAGGUAAUGGCUUACCAAGGCGACGACGGGUAGCCGGCCUGAGAGGGUGACCGGCCACACUGGGACUGAGACACGGCCCAGACUCCUACGGGAGGCAGCAGUGGGGAAUAUUGCACAAUGGGCGCAAGCCUGAUGCAGCGACGCCGCGUGAGGGAUGACGGCCUUCGGGUUGUAAACCUCUGUUAGCAUCGAAGAAGCGAAAGUGACGGUAGUGCAGAGAAAGCGCCG
RNAcentral lists this ribosomal RNA (458 nucleotides) under Rothia dentocariosa. RNAcentral describes it as "bacterial SSU rRNA". It matches the Rfam family "Bacterial small subunit ribosomal RNA", at positions 28 to 495 of the family's 1533-position model. Lineage: Bacteria; Bacillati; Actinomycetota; Actinomycetes; Micrococcales; Micrococcaceae. The record is from RNAcentral.